Paramuricea clavata is the source of this 305-nucleotide non-coding RNA. The record is from the annotation of a GenBank genome assembly. Lineage: Eukaryota; Metazoa; Cnidaria; Anthozoa; Malacalcyonacea; Plexauridae.
CCCGUAUAAAUGGCCCUAUUGUGUGAUAGACAGUUUAACAAUCUUAAAGGAGUUGGUGUACACAUGAAAAGAGAACAUGGCAUUUCCUCAUCGACGAUUAUCCCUCCAUCUUCUGAUGUCCCGAUUAUGUCAUCCGUUAAUUUUGUUGAUAGCCAACCUUCAAGUAGUCACCUGUUAUAUGAUAACGACUCUCUUGCUGCUCCACAAUUGCCCAAUCGCGUCAACACCAGAAGGAGUGCCCGCAAAUCUAAUUCCAACCAUUGCCCUAAUGACCCCGCCAUUCCCAUUACAUCCAGCGGUCCCUC